AGAGUUUGAUCCUGGCUCAGAUUGAACGCUGGCGGCAUGCUUUACACAUGCAAGUCGAACGGCAGCGCGGGCUUCGGCCUGGCGGCGAGUGGCGAACGGGUGAGUAAUGCAUCGGAACGUACCCAGUCGUGGGGGAUAACACAUCGAAAGAUGUGCUAAUACCGCAUACGUCCUGAGGGAGAAAGCGGGGGACCUUCGGGCCUCGCGCGAUUGGAGCGGCCGAUGUCAGAUUAGCUAGUAGGUGGGGUAAAGGCCCACCUAGGCGACGAUCUGUAGCGGGUCUGAGAGGAUGAUCCGCCACACUGGGACUGAGACACGGCCCAGACUCCUACGGGAGGCAGCAGUGGGGAAUUUUGGACAAUGGGGGCAACCCUGAUCCAGCCAUGCCGCGUGAGUGAAGAAGGCCUUCGGGUUGUAAAGCUCUUUCGGCCGGGAAGAAAUCGCAUCUUUUAAUAGAGGGUGUGGAUGACGGUACCGGACUAAGAAGCACCGGCUAACUACGUGCCAGCAGCCGCGGUAA
RNAcentral lists this ribosomal RNA (520 nucleotides) under uncultured Thauera sp. Its description in RNAcentral is "bacterial SSU rRNA". It matches the Rfam family "Bacterial small subunit ribosomal RNA", at positions 8 to 523 of the family's 1533-position model. Lineage: Bacteria; Pseudomonadati; Pseudomonadota; Betaproteobacteria; Rhodocyclales; Zoogloeaceae. The record is from RNAcentral.